RNAcentral lists this ribosomal RNA (468 nucleotides) under uncultured bacterium. RNAcentral describes it as "partial 16S ribosomal RNA". It matches the Rfam family "Bacterial small subunit ribosomal RNA", at positions 28 to 507 of the family's 1533-position model. The record is from RNAcentral.
GACGAACGCUGGCGGCGUGCUUAACACAUGCAAGUCGAACGGAAAGGCCCUGCUUUUGUGGGGUGCUCGAGUGGCGAACGGGUGAGUAACACGUGAGUAACCUGCCCUUGACUUUGGGAUAACUUCAGGAAACUGGGGCUAAUACCGGAUAGGAGCUCCUGCUGCAUGGUGGGGGUUGGAAAGUUUCGGCGGUUGGGGAUGGACUCGCGGCUUAUCAGCUUGUUGGUGGGGUAGUGGCUUACCAAGGCUUUGACGGGUAGCCGGCCUGAGAGGGUGACCGGCCACAUUGGGACUGAGAUACGGACCAGACGGCUACGGGAGGCAGCAGUGGGGAAUAUGGCACAAUGGGCGGAAGCCUGAUGCAGCAACGCCGCGUGCGGGAUGACGGCCUUCGGGUUGUAAACCGCUUUCGCCUGUGACGAAGCGGGAGUGACGGUAAUGGGUAAAGAAGCACCGGCUAACUACGUG